This 468-nucleotide ribosomal RNA is filed under the name uncultured bacterium. RNAcentral describes it as "partial 16S ribosomal RNA". It matches the Rfam family "Bacterial small subunit ribosomal RNA", at positions 28 to 508 of the family's 1533-position model. The record is from RNAcentral.
GAUGAACGCUGGCGGCGCGCCUAACACAUGCAAGUCGAACGAUUAAAGCACCUUCGGGUGUGUAUAAAGUGGCGAACGGCUGAGUAACACGUGGGCAACCUGCCCCUUUCAUUGGGAUAGCCACGGGAAACCGUGGAUAAUACCGAAUACUUCGAGACUUCCGCAUGGAAGACUCGAGAAAGCUCCGGCGGAGAGGGAUGGGCCCGCGGCCUGUUAGCUUGUUGGUGGGGUAACGGCCUACCAAGGCAAUGAUGGGUAGCUGGGUUGAGAGACCGACCAGCCAGAUUGGGACUGAGACACGGCCCAGACUCCUACGGGAGGCAGCAGUGGGGAAUCUUGCACAAGGGGCGAAAGCCUGAUGCAGCGACGCCGCGUGCGGGAUGAAGGCCUUCGGGUUGUAAACCGCUUUCAGCAGGGACGAGGCGAAAGUGACGGUACCUGCAGAAGAAGCCCCGGCUAACUACGUGC